This 236-nucleotide ribosomal RNA is filed under the name uncultured Lactobacillus sp. RNAcentral describes it as "partial 16S ribosomal RNA". It matches the Rfam family "Bacterial small subunit ribosomal RNA", at positions 127 to 354 of the family's 1533-position model. The record is from RNAcentral. Lineage: Bacteria; Bacillati; Bacillota; Bacilli; Lactobacillales; Lactobacillaceae.
CCCCCACUAGUCUGGGAUACCACUUGGAAACAGGUGCUAAUACCGGAUAAGAAAGCGGAUCGCAUGAUCAGCUUUUAAAAGGCGGCGUAAGCUGUCGCUAUGGGAUGGCCCUGCGGUGCAUUAGCUAGUUGGUAAGGUAAAGGCUUACCAAGGCGAUGAUGCAUAGCCGAGUUGAGAGACUGAUCGGCCACAUUGGGACUGAGACACGGCCCAAACUCCUACGGGAGGCAGCAGAC